RNAcentral lists this transfer RNA (87 nucleotides) under Candidatus Aphodoplasma excrementigallinarum. Its description in RNAcentral is "tRNA-Leu". It matches the Rfam family "tRNA". From Rfam's summary of the family: Transfer RNA (tRNA) molecules are approximately 80 nucleotides in length. Their secondary structure includes four short double-helical elements and three loops (D, anti-codon, and T loops). Lineage: Bacteria; Bacillati; Bacillota; Clostridia; Eubacteriales. The record is from RNAcentral.
GCGGAUAUGGCGGAAUUGGCAGACGCGCAUGGUUCAGGUCCAUGUGGGGGCAACUCCUUGCAGGUUCAAGUCCUGUUAUCCGCACCA